GCACAAGCGGCGGAGCAUGUGGAUUAAUUCGAUGCAACGCGAAGAACCUUACCUGGGUUUGACAUAUACCGGAAAGCUGCAGAGAUGUGGCCCCCCUUGUGGUCGGUAUACAGGUGGUGCAUGGCUGUCGUCAGCUCGUGUCGUGAGAUGUUGGGUUAAGUCCCGCAACGAGCGCAACCCUAUCUUAUGUUGCCAGCACGUUAUGGUGGGGACUCGUAAGAGACUGCCGGGGUCAACUCGGAGGAAGGUGGGGACGACGUCAAGUCAUCAUGCCCCUUAUGUCCAGGGCUUCACACAUGCUACAAUGGCCAGUACAGAGGGCUGCGAGACCGUGAGGUGGAGCGAGUCCCUUAAAGCUGGUCUCAGUUCGGAUCGGGGUCUGCAACUCGACCCCGUGAAGUCGGAGUCGCUAGUAAUCGCAGAUCAGCAACGCUGCGGUGAAUACGUUCCCGGGCCUU
Molecule: ribosomal RNA, 458 nt
Filed under: uncultured Rhodococcus sp.
Lineage: Bacteria; Bacillati; Actinomycetota; Actinomycetes; Mycobacteriales; Nocardiaceae
Description: bacterial SSU rRNA
Rfam family: Bacterial small subunit ribosomal RNA
Source: RNAcentral